CCUACGGGGGGCAGCAGUGGGGAAUAUUGGACAAUGGGGGCAACCCUGAUCCAGCCAUGCCGCGUGUGUGAAGAAGGCCCUCGGGUUGUAAAGCACUUUCAGUGAGGAAGAACGCCUGGUGGUUAAUACCCAUCAGGAAAGACAUCACUCACAGAAGAAGCACCGGCUAACUCCGUGCCAGCAGCCGCGGUAAUACGGAGGGUGCGAGCGUUAAUCGGAAUUACUGGGCGUAAAGCACGCGUAGGUGGCUUGAUAAGCCGGUUGUGAAAGCCCCGGGCUCAACCUGGGAACGGCAUCCGGAACUGUCAAGCUAGAGUGCAGGAGAGGAAGGUAGAAUUCCCGGUGUAGCGGUGAAAUGCGUAGAGAUCGGGAGGAAUACCAGUGGCGAAGGCGGCCUUCUGGACUGACACUGACACUGAGGUGCGAAAGCGUGGGUAGCAAACAGGAUUAGAUACCCUAGUAGUC
This 465-nucleotide ribosomal RNA is filed under the name Vreelandella stevensii. RNAcentral's name for it is "partial 16S ribosomal RNA". It matches the Rfam family "Bacterial small subunit ribosomal RNA", at positions 338 to 795 of the family's 1533-position model. The record is from RNAcentral. Lineage: Bacteria; Pseudomonadati; Pseudomonadota; Gammaproteobacteria; Oceanospirillales; Halomonadaceae.